RNAcentral lists this unclassified non-coding RNA (146 nucleotides) under soil metagenome. Its description in RNAcentral is "partial internal transcribed spacer 1". The record is from RNAcentral.
UAAUAAGUGUUUUAUGGCACUUUUUAAAUCCAUAUCCACCUUGUGUGCAAUGUCGGUCGAUACUUCUUUUUUGAGGAUCGACCAAACAUCAACCUUUAUUUUUUAACUCUUUGUCUGAAAAAUAUUAUGAAUAAACAAUUCAAAUA